CCUAAAAUUUAUAUUUAUAUAUAUUAUAAUAAAACCAAAAAUCUUGCAGUUGCCGUUCUCAUUUUGUUCUUUCAUUCUCCAAAACUCAAAUCUCUCUCUCUCUAAAACUUUCUCUCUCAUCACUAUCACCGGAAUCUCGCUGUUUCCGUCGCCGCCGGUAAGUUCAAUAUCACAGCUAUUAACACCAGAGUUCUCACUACUGGACUUUUUGUGUUUUUUUUUUGAUUCUGAUCCGUUCUUAGAAUUGAAGUAUUUGGCGUUAUUUUUUUCGCUCUUUUUGUUAAUUUUGCUGUUUUUUUGUUUUGUUUUUGUAACUGUAUGCUAUCGAUCGUUUCGUUUUGUGUAG
This is a non-coding RNA of Vicia faba (fava bean), 346 nucleotides long. Lineage: Eukaryota; Viridiplantae; Streptophyta; Magnoliopsida; Fabales; Fabaceae. The record is from the annotation of a GenBank genome assembly.